RNAcentral lists this ribosomal RNA (891 nucleotides) under Geopyxis carbonaria. RNAcentral's name for it is "eukaryotic LSU rRNA". It matches the Rfam family "Eukaryotic large subunit ribosomal RNA", at positions 66 to 975 of the family's 3401-position model. Lineage: Eukaryota; Fungi; Ascomycota; Pezizomycetes; Pezizales; Tarzettaceae. The record is from RNAcentral.
CAACAGGGAUUGCCUUAGUAACUGCGAGUGAAGCGGCAAAAGCUCAAAUUUGAAAUCUGGGGCCUCACAGCCUCCGAAUUGUAAUUUCACGAUACGUUUUCGACUGAAGGCUCUGCUUUAAGUUCCUUGGAACAGGACGUCACAGAGGGUGAGAAUCCCGUGAUAGGUGGAGCCUGAUGCAUAUGAUACGUAUUCAACGAGUCGAGUUGUUUGGGAAUGCAGCUCAAAAUGGGAGGUAAAUUUCUUCUAAAGCUAAAUAUUGGCGAGAGACCGAUAGCGCACAAGUAGAGUGAUCGAAAGAUGAAAAGCACUUUGAAAAGAGAGUUAAAAAGUACGUGAAAUUGUUGAAAGGGAAGCGCUUGAGACCAGACUCAAUCUGUAGUGAUCAAUUUGGCUUCUGUCAGAUGCACUUGCUACUUAUUGGGACAGCAUCGGUUUUGGCGGUGGGAUAAAGUCUUGAGGAAUGUAGCUAUCUUCGGGUAGUGUUAUAGCCUCUUGAGUAAUGCCACCAGCUGGGACCGAGGACCGCGCCGCAAGGCUAGGAUGCUGUCAUAAUGGUCUUCAGCGACCCGUCUUGAAACACGGACCAAGGAGUCUAACAUCUAUGCGAGUGUUCGGGUGGAAAACCCUUGCGCGUAAUGAAAGUGAACGGAGGUGGGAACCUUAGGGUGCACCAUCGACCGAUCCUGAUGUCUUCGGAAGGAUUUGAGUAUGAGCAUAGCUGUUGGGACCCGAAAGAUGGUGAACUAUGCCUGAAUAGGGUGAAGCCAGAGGAAACUCUGGUGGAGGCUCGCAGCGGUUCUGACGUGCAAAUCGAUCGUCAAAUUUGGGUAUAGGGGCGAAAGACUAAUCGAACCAUCUAGUAGCUGGUUCCUGCCGAAGUUUCCCUCA